UACGAGGGGGGCGAGCGUUGUUCGGAAUUAUUGGGCGUAAAGGGUGCGUAGGCGGUUCGGUAAGUUUCGUGUGAAAUCUUCGGGCUCAACUCGAAGCCUGCACGAGAUACUGCCGGGCUUGAGUGUGGGAGAGGUGAGUGGAAUUUCCGGUGGAGCGGUGAAAUGCGUAGAGAUCGGAAAGAACACCAACGGCGAAAGCACUCUGCUGGGCCGACACUGACACUGAGAGACGAAAGCUAGGGGAGCGAAUGGG
RNAcentral lists this ribosomal RNA (253 nucleotides) under uncultured bacterium. RNAcentral describes it as "partial 16S ribosomal RNA". It matches the Rfam family "Bacterial small subunit ribosomal RNA", at positions 524 to 776 of the family's 1533-position model. The record is from RNAcentral.